UCACGAGGCUAGGGGUGCCCGCCGAUGGGGCUUGGGCUGAGAAACACCCUUGGAACCUGAACCGGAUCAUACCGGCGGAGGGAAGCUUCGGAUGGGCGUC
Molecule: non-coding RNA, 100 nt
Filed under: Ectothiorhodospira sp.
Lineage: Bacteria; Pseudomonadati; Pseudomonadota; Gammaproteobacteria; Chromatiales; Ectothiorhodospiraceae
Description: TPP sequence
Rfam family: TPP riboswitch aptamer (THI element)
About the family: Vitamin B(1) in its active form thiamin pyrophosphate (TPP) is an essential coenzyme that is synthesised by coupling of pyrimidine and thiazole moieties in bacteria. The previously detected thiamin-regulatory element, thi box was extended, resulting in a new, highly conserved RNA secondary structure, the THI element, which is widely distributed in eubacteria and also occurs in some archaea.
Source: RNAcentral